RNAcentral lists this ribosomal RNA (253 nucleotides) under uncultured bacterium. RNAcentral describes it as "partial 16S ribosomal RNA". It matches the Rfam family "Bacterial small subunit ribosomal RNA", at positions 524 to 776 of the family's 1533-position model. The record is from RNAcentral.
UACGAGGGGGGCUAGCGUUGUUCGGAAUUACUGGGCGUAAAGGGCGCGUAGGCGGUACUUCAAGUCAGGCGUGAAAGCCCCGGGCUCAACCUGGGAACCGCGCUUGAGACUGGAGAACUAGAGUUCGGGAGAGGAUGGUGGAAUUCCCAGUGUAGAGGUGAAAUUCGUAGAUAUUGGGAAGAACACCGAUGGCGAAGGCAGCCAUCUGGACCGACACUGACGCUGAGGCGCGAAAGCGUGGGGAGCAAACAGG